This 497-nucleotide ribosomal RNA is filed under the name uncultured bacterium. RNAcentral's name for it is "partial 16S ribosomal RNA". It matches the Rfam family "Bacterial small subunit ribosomal RNA", at positions 28 to 507 of the family's 1533-position model. The record is from RNAcentral.
GAUGAACGCUGGCGGCGUGCCUAAUACAUGCAAGUCGAGCGAACAGAUCAUGCGCUUGCUCCUCUGACGUUAGCGGCGGACGGGUGAGUAACACGUGUAUAACCCACCUAUAAUACUGGGAUAACUUCGGGAAACCGGAUCUAAUACCGGAGAAGCUAUUGAACCGCAUGGUUCAAUAGUGAAAGACGGUUUUGCUGUAACUUAUAGAUGGAUCCGCGCCGCAUUAGCUAGUUGUUAAGGUCACAGCUUACCAAGGCAACGCUGCGUAGCCGACGUGAGAGGGUGAUCGGCCACACUGGAACUGGGCCACGGUCCAGACUCCUACGGGAGGCAGCAGUAGGGAAUCUUCCGCAAUGGGCGAAAGCAUGACGGAGCAACGCCGCGUGAGUGAUGAAGGUCUUCGGAUCGUAAAACUCUGUUAUUAGGGAAGAACAAAUGUGUAAGUAACUAUGCACGUCUUGACGGUACCUAAUCAGAAAGCCACGGCUAACUACGUG